Molecule: non-coding RNA, 77 nt
Filed under: Cetobacterium somerae
Lineage: Bacteria; Fusobacteriati; Fusobacteriota; Fusobacteriia; Fusobacteriales; Fusobacteriaceae
Also listed under: 1 other name
Description: c-di-GMP sequence
Rfam family: c-di-GMP-I riboswitch aptamer
About the family: GEMM was predicted in a large-scale screen for bacterial structured RNA regulatory elements. Genes associated with GEMM are involved in a diverse array of functions, including chemotaxis regulation, signal transduction, secretion and chitin.
Source: RNAcentral
AAGAAGUAAGGGCAAAGUAAGGGAAACUUUAUGACGCAAAACUAUAGGGCCUAUUAAUGUGGCAGCCAGGUGCAACA